UACAGAGGGGGCAAGCGUUGUUCGGAAUUACUGGGCGUAAAGGGCGCGUAGGCGGCCCGCUAAGUCGAACGUGAAAUCCCCGGGCUCAACCCGGGAACUGCGUCCGAUACUGGUGGGCUUGAAUCCGGGAGAGGGAUGCGGAAUUCCAGGUGUAGCGGUGAAAUGCGUAGAUAUCAGGAAGAACACCUAUGGCGAAGGCAGCUCUCUGGGACGGUACUGACGCUGAGACGCGAAAGCGUGGGGAGCGAACAGG
Molecule: ribosomal RNA, 253 nt
Filed under: uncultured bacterium
Lineage: Bacteria
Description: partial 16S ribosomal RNA
Rfam family: Bacterial small subunit ribosomal RNA
Source: RNAcentral